Mastomys coucha (southern multimammate mouse) is the source of this 606-nucleotide long non-coding RNA. RefSeq lists it as uncharacterized. The transcript has 2 exons. The record is from RefSeq and is a predicted model, not a curated record. NCBI's taxonomy places the organism in Eukaryota, Metazoa, Chordata, Mammalia, Rodentia, Muridae.
GGGAGAGAGAUAAGCAUCUGAGCUCCAGGCUCCCUCCUGCAGCUGCCAGAUCUUUACGGAGGUGGAUCCACCCUUGAGCCUGGAUUCCUGACUUUUGCCACAGGACAUUAUUGCAGGAGGUUUCCUGAACAGCCACGGAAGGAGCAGUGCCCAUCUCAGACAAGCUCCAGAUCAAAGUCGGAGCCUGAGGAAGUCUCCCUUCUGAAGCUGUUCCAGUCCUAAAGACCCCAGACUUGGAGCUCCUCAGAGUCCUAAAUCAUUCUGCUCUCAGUCUGAACUGCUUUGAACUUGAUUUGUCAUUUGUCACUAAAAAGGUUUUAAAAAAAAUCCCCAUCCUGGAAGUCUUUCAGUGGCUGCCAUGUGGAGACAGCAUCUUAACCUCCCAGUGUAGCUCCGUGCCCCGCAUUUCCCCAGUGGAAACAUAGCUCCUGCCCUUGAUCUUCAACGAUGCAGGUUCCUGCUGGGCUCGCCCCGCUCCUUGCUCCCUCUGGAUGCUGAAGCACCUGCACCUGGGCAGCUGCACUAUUCUGUGUGAUGGCAAUCAGCUGCAUGUGUUUCCUUCAUCGUGAGCCUGAGAGCCUGCCAUUAAAGCCAUCUUGAAACCCA